RNAcentral lists this long non-coding RNA (817 nucleotides) under Heterocephalus glaber (naked mole-rat). Its description in RNAcentral is "lncRNA (ENSHGLG00000047161.1)". Lineage: Eukaryota; Metazoa; Chordata; Mammalia; Rodentia; Bathyergidae. The record is from RNAcentral.
ACUGGUGAUAACUGCAGGGAUGUAUUUGAAAGCCACUGUACCCAUUUUUCUAGAUGAAAAUAUCUUCCCUUGAAUGGCCCAAGUGAAGGUAAAUGACUUCUAGUCUGCCCUCUCUGAAACCCAUGCCCCACUGCUCAUCAAAGAAGACUGAGGUCCUCAAAGAUGAGAAUGGCUGCCUAUUAAAGACCCUUCCAAUAGACUGCAGCACAGUGGAUGGACUAGACAGACAGGUGGAGUCAGGAUUCCACAAGCCCACUGUCCUUCUCUUCUGGUACCCAGGAAUCUGACCAAAACAGCCCUUCUGGUUUUCCUGGGACUAAGCACAUUUGUGGAACACCAGGCAAUCAGAGCUAAAGUUGAGAAAGCCCAGGGCAAACUCAGAUGAGCUGGCUCCCCCUACAAAAUGCUUUCUGCUGAAGGUCGUUAAGAGCUUAUGUGAAGAAAAAUGAGGCAGGACAUCAUGAUGAGAGUGUGUGACAGACCAAGCUGCCCUCCUCAUGGCAACAUGUAACAGAGAGAGAAGAAGAGGAAGGUCUGGGAAUGUCACAUUCCCCUCAGAGAAUGCACAUUUAUCUGGAAUAAAGUCUCUGCAUAUGUAGCUAAUUAAAGGUCUCAAGAUGAAAUCUUCCUGAAUUUGGGGUGGCCUCAUCAAAGAAAGAGAGGGAGUUAUGGACAUCAAGGAGAUUGUGUAAAGAUGGAGGCAAAUAUUAAGGUUUUGCUGUCUCAGAAAAGGAAAUUUUGCAGAAAGUAUAAGGUACUGGAAGAUUCAAGGAAGGAAGCUUUCUCCAGACCCAUCAGAGAGACAUGGCCCUGCUAU